Molecule: long non-coding RNA, 295 nt
Organism: Sander lucioperca (pikeperch)
Lineage: Eukaryota; Metazoa; Chordata; Actinopteri; Perciformes; Percidae
Exons: 2
Source: RefSeq, a predicted model, not a curated record
UGAACUCGUUACCUGUAUAAAAGACACCUGUCCACACACUCAUUCAAACAGACUCCAACCUCUCCACAAUGGCCAAGACCAGAGAGCAGUGUAAGGACAUCAGGGAUACAACUGUAGACCUGCACAAGGCUGGGAUGGGCUACAGGACAAUAGGCAAGCAGCUUGGUGAGAAGGUGAGGGAUCAGCCCAGAACUACACGGCAGGACCUGGUCAAUGACCUGAAGAGAGCUGGGACCACAGUCUCAAAGAAAACCAUUAGUAACAAACUAUGCCGUCAUGGAUUAAAAUCCUGCAG